This 301-nucleotide ribosomal RNA is filed under the name uncultured bacterium. Its description in RNAcentral is "partial 16S ribosomal RNA". It matches the Rfam family "Bacterial small subunit ribosomal RNA", at positions 509 to 807 of the family's 1533-position model. The record is from RNAcentral.
CAGCAGCCGCGGGAAUACGGAGGGUGCAAGCGUUAAUCGGAAUUACUGGGCGUAAAGCGCACGCAGGCGGUUUGUUAAGUCAGAUGUGAAAUCCCCGAGCUUAACUUGGGAACUGCAUUUGAAACUGGCAAGCUAGAGUCUUGUAGAGGGGGGUAGAAUUCCAGGUGUAGCGGUGAAAUGCGUAGAGAUCUGGAGGAAUACCGGUGGCGAAGGCGGCCCCCUGGACAAAGACUGACGCUCAGGUGCGAAAGCGUGGGGAGCAACCAGGAUUAGAUACCCCGGUAGUCCCUGUCUCUUAUAC